UGGGGAAUUUUGGACAAUGGGCGAAAGCCUGAUCCAGCAAUGCCGCGUGUGUGAAGAAGGCCUUCGGGUUGUAAAGCACUUUUGUCCGGAAAGAAAUCCUUGGCUCUAAUACAGUCGGGGGAUGACGGUACCGGAAGAAUAAGCACCGGCUAACUACGUGCCAGCAGCCGCGGUAAUACGUAGGGUGCAAGCGUUAAUCGGAAUUACUGGGCGUAAAGCGUGCGCAGGCGGUUUGCUAAGACCGAUGUGAAAUCCCCGGGCUCAACCUGGGAACUGCAUUGGUGACUGGCAGGCUAGAGUAUGGCAGAGGGGGGUAGAAUUCCACGUGUAGCAGUGAAAUGCGUAGAGAUGUGGAGGAAUACCGAUGGCGAAGGCAGCCCCCUGGCAAGUACUGACGCUCAUGCACGAAAGCGUGGGGAGCAAACNGGAUUAAUNCCCUGGUAGUCCACGCCCCUAAANGAUGUCAACUAGUUGUUGGGGGAUUCAUUUUCCUUAGUAACGUAGCUAACGCGUGAGUUGACCGCCUGGGGAUACGGUCGCAAGAUUAAAACUCAAAUAAUUGACGGGGUCAUGCUG
Molecule: ribosomal RNA, 576 nt
Filed under: uncultured bacterium
Lineage: Bacteria
Description: partial 16S ribosomal RNA
Rfam family: Bacterial small subunit ribosomal RNA
Source: RNAcentral